AAGAUCCUUUGGCCAUGUUAGGGUGUCCCCACGCCACCUUAACCCUAAUAUCAUCCUCAAGCAUCCCACAAGCUUGGAGGAUCAUUCAAGUCAUCUCACUCACUCUCCAAAACCAAUUUGGAUGUUGAGUCCCCUUUGAAGAAGCAUCAAGAUUGUAAGACCCCAAUUUUGGCCCUAAGUUCCCUCAUGCUAUCUCAUCAUAUGCAUUGGCACUAGGAUCACACCUUGGCAUCCUC
RNAcentral lists this long non-coding RNA (236 nucleotides) under Lathyrus oleraceus (garden pea). RNAcentral describes it as "Pisum sativum (pea) long non-coding RNA (PSAT_LNC010498)". The record is from RNAcentral. Lineage: Eukaryota; Viridiplantae; Streptophyta; Magnoliopsida; Fabales; Fabaceae.